AGCAGCCGCGGUAAUUCCAGCUCCAAUAGCGUAUAUUAAAGUUGUUGCAGUUAAAAAGCUCGUAGUUGAAUUUCGGGACUAAUAUGUCGGUCGUACUUUGUACGUACUAGCAUUAUUGGUUUCUCCCUUCUGACGAACCACGAUGUCAUUAAUUUGGUGUCUUGGGAAAUCAGAACUGUUACUUUGAAAAAAUUAGAGUGUUUAAAGCAGGCUCACGCUUGAAUACAUUAGCAUGGAAUAAUGAAAUAGGACGUUUGAUUCUAUUUUGUUGGUUUCUAGGAUCGACGUAAUGAUUAAUAGGGAUAGUUGGGGGCAUUAGUAUUCAAUUGUCAGAGGUGAAAUUCUUGGAUUUAUUGAAGACUAACUACUGCGAAAGCAUUUGCCAAGGAUGUUUUCAUUAAUCAAGAACGAAAGUUAGGGGAUCGAAGACGAUCAGAUACCGUCGUAGUCUUAACCAUAAACUAUGCCGACUAGGGAUCGGAUGAUGUUAAUUUUUAAUGACUCAUUCGGCGCCUUACGG
Molecule: ribosomal RNA, 520 nt
Filed under: uncultured Glomus
Lineage: Eukaryota; Fungi; Glomeromycota; Glomeromycetes; Glomerales; Glomeraceae
Description: SSU rRNA
Rfam family: Eukaryotic small subunit ribosomal RNA
Source: RNAcentral